AGUCAACAUGCCCAGGGGACGUGGAUAACCUCGGGAAACUGAGGAUAAACCGCGAUAGGCCAAGAUUUCUGGAAUGAAUCAUGGUUUAAAUCUAUAUGGCCCCUGGAUUGGACUGCGGCCGAUCAGGCUGUUGGUGAGGUAAUGGCCCACCAAACCUGUAACCGGUACGGGCUCUGAGAGGAGGAGCCCGGAGAUGGGCACUUAGACAAGGGCCCAGGCCCUAUGGGGCGCAGCAGGCGCGAAACCUCUGCAAUAAGCGAAAGCUUGACAGGGUUACUCUGAGUGAUUUCCGCUAAGGAAGUCUUUUGGCACCUCUAAAAAUGGUGCAGAAUAAGGGGUGGGCAAGUCUGGUGUCAGCCGCCGCGGUAAUACCAGCACCCCGAGUGGUCGGGACGAUUAUUGGGCCUAAAGCAUCCGUAGCCGGUCCUGCAAGUCCUCCGUUAAAUCCACCCGCUCAACGGUUGGGCCGCGGGGGAUACUACAGGGCUAGGAGGCGGGAGAGGCAAGCGGUACUCGAUGGGUAGGGGUAAAAUCCACUGAUCCAUUGAAGACCACCAGUGGCGAAGGCGGCCUGCCAGAACGCGCUCGACGGUGAGGGAUGAAAGCUGGGGGAGCAAACCGGAUUAGAUACCCGGGUAGUCCCAGCUGUAAACGAUGCAGACUCGGUGAUGGGCUGGCUUCGUGCCAACCCGGUGCCGCAGGGAAGCCGUUAAGUCUGCCGCCUGGGGAGUACGGUCGCAAGACUGAAACUUAA
This 754-nucleotide ribosomal RNA is filed under the name uncultured archaeon. RNAcentral's name for it is "bacterial SSU rRNA". It matches the Rfam family "Archaeal small subunit ribosomal RNA", at positions 102 to 859 of the family's 1478-position model. The record is from RNAcentral.